UUUGAAGGGUGAGAGGGAAGGGCAGAGCCAGAGGGAACCUGUAGAGUGGGGGCAUUGUGCAAGGUUUGAGGUCACCAUGCAUGGCAUUGCAUGGCUAACAGGUCUGGUGCCCCAGUUAUGGCGGCAGGGCUCUGAGCAGGCUUUUGUGAAGAGGACCCUGAAAGGGCCUGAUUCACAAGGUGCUCUGCAUCGAGCGUGCACUGCUCUGAUUUCAUCUAACAUCGCAUCUCUAGAGACCCAUGAGGAAGUUGGCUCAGACAAGCUGUGCAGGCUGCCGGAGGUCACACAGCUGGAGGCUUUAGAGCAAGAAUGGGGGUC
Molecule: long non-coding RNA, 318 nt
Filed under: Rattus norvegicus (Norway rat)
Lineage: Eukaryota; Metazoa; Chordata; Mammalia; Rodentia; Muridae
Description: long non-coding RNA NONRATT027101
Source: RNAcentral